Dermacentor andersoni is the source of this 1140-nucleotide non-coding RNA. NCBI's taxonomy places the organism in Eukaryota, Metazoa, Arthropoda, Arachnida, Ixodida, Ixodidae. The record is from RefSeq and is a predicted model, not a curated record.
UAGCAGCGGCAGCGGCGAAGGAACCUGCCUAUGUUUUCGCAUUCGCGACUUUACAGAGCUCCAGCCUACGCCCAGCUCUUUUUGCCCUCGAGCAAAAAGUUGAUCGGCCGUAGAAUUUCGAGACUUCAGCCUGCGCCCGGUUUCUUUUCCUUAGAGCAAACAGUUGAGCGUCCACAGACGCUUCCGAUGCACCCUGGACAAUGACAGACGUCCCCUGUGCGAACUUUGCGACCGGUGGUGGGUCAACACAAUGGUUACCUUGGUGGCAGCGGUGGUGGCGAAAGGACCGACCUCAUUCUUCGCAUUCGCCACCUUCGAGGUUGUGUAAGACUGCAUUCUAUUGGGACACCGUGAAACGCUGCUGAUACUGGCAGCGUGAUACUUGCCAACAUCUCACUAUUGCCACACUGGAGGACAGCUCCACAGAAGAUCAAGCUACAGGAAAAUUGUCAUGCAUAUGUGGAGCUGUCAUUGUUUUCCUGACGCAAGUGGUGCUUGCCGAUCGACUAGGAACCAGUCACUCGACGCACCUGCCCUUGGAUUUUCCUCGGAACGUACGCUUGUGCUAGCAGUGUCUUUGCAAAGGAGGUGGUUUCUCAGAAUGAAGCUGGUGUUGAAGAAGGUCCACUUGCCGCUGGCGCAGCGAGAAAAAGUGUAAACCAAGCGACAGAAAGUCAGCGCCAGAGGUGGCAGGGACACUUCUGCUUGCGGCUUCUCUCCAGAUGAAUCGACACGAAACCUCCCGUCGCCGCAUGAAGCACACUCGUCAACGACACUAUUCAGAAAAAUUGAAGCAUUACUCUUUCUGUAGUUCCGUAGUUUUCACAAUAUUCCGUAGUUUUCACAAUAUUUUCUUGUCUAACUGCAGGAUACUGGAUCAAAGUGACACUAAAUCGACCCACAUAACUUGUACUAGUUCAUACGAAAGGCUCUCUAGAGAUCAGAAGGUAAUGCGCUAAUGACACGAAUGCGUGCCAUUAUUUGUAAAGUUUUGCCAUUACGAAUACAAUUUAUUAGCCAACAUUAUUCAAUCUGAAUUUUAAAUUUUGAAUAUUUGCACAUCCAUAGCAAUGCGGUCAUAUAUGUAACCGGUAUAUAUGACAUACUUCUAUCUCUAUGUAAGCGUCGUCGUCCAUGGAU